GAUGAACGCUAGCGGGAGGCUUAAUACAUGCAAGUCGAGGGGCAGCAUGGGACUUCGGUCCUGAUGGCGACCGGCGCACGGGUGAGUAACGCGUACACGACCUACCUUUAAGUGGGGGAUAGCCUUGGGAAACUGAGAUUAAUACCCCAUGUGAUUGUGUUUAAUAAAGGGACACAAUUAAAGCUCCGGCGCUUAAAGAUGGGUGUGCGUCCCAUUAGCUAGUUGGUGAGGUAACGGCUCACCAAGGCGACGAUGGGUAGGGGGCGUGAGAGCGUGACCCCCCACACGGGUGCUGAGACACGGACCCG
Molecule: ribosomal RNA, 308 nt
Filed under: uncultured bacterium
Lineage: Bacteria
Description: bacterial SSU rRNA
Rfam family: Bacterial small subunit ribosomal RNA
Source: RNAcentral